CGCCGCGUGAGUGAUGAAGGUUUUCGGAUCGUAAAGCUCUGUUGUUAGGGAAGAACAAGUACCGUUCGAAUAGGGCGGUACCUUGACGGUACCUAACCAGAAAGCCACGGCUAACUACGUGCCAGCAGCCGCGGUAAUACGUAGGUGGCAAGCGUUGUCCGGAAUUAUUGGGCGUAAAGGGCUCGCAGGCGGUUUCUUAAGUCUGAUGUGAAAGCCCCCGGCUCAACCGGGGAGGGUCAUUGGAAACUGGGGAACUUGAGUGCAGAAGAGGAGAGUGGAAUUCCACGUGUAGCGGUGAAAUGCGUAAAGAUGUGGAGGAACACCAGUGGCGAA
This 333-nucleotide ribosomal RNA is filed under the name Bacillus subtilis. Its description in RNAcentral is "bacterial SSU rRNA". It matches the Rfam family "Bacterial small subunit ribosomal RNA", at positions 395 to 719 of the family's 1533-position model. The record is from RNAcentral. Lineage: Bacteria; Bacillati; Bacillota; Bacilli; Caryophanales; Bacillaceae.